UACACGGUCAAGGUAAGAAGAUAGAGACGACAACCAAAAAGUCAGCAAACUUCCCUCGUCUGACAAACACUUCUCAUGAGGAGGACAAGCCUGUGUUCGUCUUCGAAGGUGUCAACUAUGAUGAGCUGCCUCCACACUUGAAAGAAAUUCACAAAGACUGCUAUGCUGAUUACAUACGUUGCUCAAGAUCUAUGACCCAACACCAUCAAGUAUGCUCGUACAACCUUGAGCAGUAUUAUUACUUAGAAGCAUUUCAUAGCAUUUGUGAGAUGAUGUAUGCUAACUGUCAGCGGAAGAAUAAAGAUCACACGCUAUUUUAUUAUUUAGCUGAUGGGUAUACGUGCCAACAUUGGACCCGGCGUAUGAAGCGAUCCAAAGAUAUUUUUUCAAAACUUGCCUCGAAAGUCAAACAAGUUGCGACGAAGACCAAAACGUUCACAAAGAACCUUUUUAAAAAGCUUGGAAAAGUAUUUAAAGGAAAAUAAAUAUUCA
Pieris napi is the source of this 492-nucleotide long non-coding RNA. RefSeq lists it as uncharacterized. The transcript has 3 exons. The record is from RefSeq and is a predicted model, not a curated record. NCBI's taxonomy places the organism in Eukaryota, Metazoa, Arthropoda, Insecta, Lepidoptera, Pieridae.